This is a long non-coding RNA of Tachyglossus aculeatus (Australian echidna), 2565 nucleotides long. RefSeq lists it as uncharacterized. The record is from RefSeq and is a predicted model, not a curated record. NCBI's taxonomy places the organism in Eukaryota, Metazoa, Chordata, Mammalia, Monotremata, Tachyglossidae. The transcript is spliced from 2 exons.
UAUGUGUGACGUUGACUGCAGCAUGUUUGGCAUUCUUUGGAAAUUACCCGGAAGAAAUGUUAGAAGAUAAAAAAUGCCAAAUAGAAUGUAUUUUAACAGUGACUGCUGUGAGCGGGACGUCCUGGGAAGGAUUAGUGACUGUGGGUAAAUAGCUCUUAUAAAGGCCUUGCACGGAAAUUGUUGUUAAUAGGAAGCCCCUUGUGUUUUCAUGGCUGAUUAAUCUGUUGCCAUAGCGGAGAAGCAUAUAAAAUACUGGCUACUCAAACUUCCUGGAAAAAUUUUCAGCAUUCCAUUUACUUUCGUAGAGAGAAAUUUGCAACAAAUUAUUUUUAAACUGCAAAUCCCAGGAUGUGUAGGGCUGCCAGGAUGAUUGUAGAGGGGGUGUGCAGUUUUGGAGGAUGGGUUAAAAUAAGUGUUUUCUGCAGCUUUGACUGAUGUAGGUAAUCUGAUAAGGGUGCUCCGUUUCAUUGAGUUGGGAAGUUGACGGGGUAAUAUGUUCAGGAAUUGGAAAUAAAGACGAUAGUAAGGUAAAUCGUAGAUGCUGUUCAGAAGCAGCAACGGAACCUAGUAUCAGACUUCGGAAACUUGGUUCCCGCCGUCUGAUACCUAAAUAUCCAAGCCAGCACCUAUGUUGGUAAAAGGGGAAACAGCGUGAUGUUUUGGUUCUUAAGGAAAGUUUAUUGGUCUUCGGAAAUGACAGCGUUUUAUUGUUCAUUUUAAUUUUGUAUUUAAAUCACGUGGAAAAGAUUUUUGUUUUUGGUAACGUUUCUUGGGCCCUCAGCAGAAAAUAUGUUACUAACGUCCAAUUGGGAAACGUAAGUUGGUGAUUUUUUUUUAAAAAAAAAAAACAAACAACUUUUUUUGAAACCAAUUUAGAUAGAUGCUUAUCCUUUACACUAUUCAUACAAGAGUGCUAGCCCAGGGAUUUUAUUUUUUUUCUCCAGUGGACUUGAUUACGCUAUGUCGUUAAUGCACCUCAUUGUCACUUUUGUGUAAGUUUUGAAAAAAGAGAGUUUGGUUAAACUGCAUGUCACCGUAGCUGGCAGGAGUCUGAGAUUAGAACUUUUUGCAUAAUAAAAUAAUUUGGAAGUUGUUCAGAGCAGCUGGUUCCUGAGUUAUCCCCUUCCUUCAUGGUCAGUUUCUGUUACUUAAGCAAGAAGGGUGGGAAGAAAAGUAUUAGCACUUGGAAGAUGGAGAAACGAUUAGGUGCUGUCUACUAUCUAUUUAAAACAAAUGGGGAAAAAAAAUCCCUCUCCAUUGUAGAAAUUUGCUUUGCCCCGUCACCAGUACAGGAGCAGAAAGAAAUUCUUACAUUCAGAGUGAGGCAUGUGGUCGUUCUUCAACUAUUCUGUUACAACUUGUUUUUUUACAGAAGGUGGAUGGGGCCUUAUUUCUCCUUAAUUAGACAGCGUUGCAUCAAUGAUUUUGUUGGGGAAAGGAUUUAUCCAACAGGGAGCAUUCACAUAUAACUGUUCAGCCACAGCGGGGAUGGAUAGCCUAUAUUUUGGGGGAUAAGGAACUAUGUACUGGAUUUAUCAAGAGAAGAAUUAUGGCAAAGAAAUGUCAGUUGCUUUUAAAGAAAAAAAAACACAAAACUCUUCUCUAUUUCUCAGUAUUAGUCCAAAUAAGAUUAAUCCUUUAGCAACAAGUAGACACCAGUCCAUUAGAUCUCAAUUUGUGUAGUGCAUUUUUGCUUCUGCCUUCUCAGUCGUCUCUGCGGUCUCAGGCAAAUCAAAAUAUGAUAGGAAUUGCCUGUUUCUUCUAACUCUUUCCCUGAAGAAUUAUAUUUGGCAAUCUAGCUCUAAAUUUUAAAACUGUUUAAACUGGAUCAAACUGCAUAAAAAUUGCAAUAAUUCAAAUGCAAGCAUUGCUUUUAAAAACACAAAUUUGUAUGAAAGUAACAUCAAUUUGCAUUGAAUUAGGUUCCUCAAGUUUUAACCAAGUAAAUACUACUACUAUUAGCAAAAUAUCAAGUGUCUGUUAUGAGGUUUAACAAAUGAGUGAUACAUAAGAAUUAUAUUUGGCAAUCUAGUUCUAAAUUUUAAAGCUGGUUAAACUGGAUCAUACUGCAUAAAAAUUGCAAAAAUUCAAAUGCAAGCAGUGCUUUUUAAAACACAAAUUUGCAUUAAAUUAACAUCAGUUUGCAUUGAAUUAGGUUCCUCAAGUUUUAACCAAAUAGCUACUACUGCUACUAGCAAAAUAUCAAGUGUCCGUUCUGAGGUUUAACAAAUGAGUGAUACAUACUGUCUAUUGCUUAGUUGUUAAAUGGAAGCAGAUUAUUGAAUGUCAACUGUAUUUUAUACAGUUUAAUAUACAAUAACUAUUUGAAGAAGUUUAAAUUUGUGCAGCAGAUUUAUAUUUAGGAAACAGUUUAAUGCAUUUUUCUUGUAUGGCUUUUUUGAUUGGGGGGGAAAAGUGUAUUUUUUUGUCUCUUACUGGCUGUGUCCCUGCAAAAUACUGUAUCCUACUUAAGUCAGAGGGACUAGAUAAAUUUACCUCUGCCCCCCAUGUAUUUUUUUUUUUAAUUUUGAAUACAUAUACAAUAAAAUGUUUCUUGCUUGUUAA